UACGUAGGGGGCAAGCGUUGUCCGGAUUUAUUGGGCGUAAAGAGCGUGUAGGCGGCCAGACAGGUCAGCUGUGAAAACUCGAGGCUCAACCUCGAGACGUCGGUUGAAACCGUAUGGCUAGAGUCCGGAAGAGGAGAGUGGAAUUCCCGGUGUAGCGGUGAAAUGCGCAGAUAUCGGGAAGAACACCUAUGGCGAAGGCAGCUCUCUGGGACGGUACUGACGCUGAGACGCGAAAGCGUGGGGAGCGAACAGG
This 253-nucleotide ribosomal RNA is filed under the name uncultured bacterium. RNAcentral's name for it is "partial 16S ribosomal RNA". It matches the Rfam family "Bacterial small subunit ribosomal RNA", at positions 524 to 776 of the family's 1533-position model. The record is from RNAcentral.